AGGAUGAUGUGUGCCGCUGAGGU
This 23-nucleotide non-coding RNA is filed under the name Arabidopsis thaliana (thale cress). Lineage: Eukaryota; Viridiplantae; Streptophyta; Magnoliopsida; Brassicales; Brassicaceae. The record is from RNAcentral.